Molecule: long non-coding RNA, 19267 nt
Filed under: Malus domestica (apple)
Lineage: Eukaryota; Viridiplantae; Streptophyta; Magnoliopsida; Rosales; Rosaceae
Description: long non-coding RNA (MDOM_LNC007151)
Source: RNAcentral
GACCAAACGAAUUGGAAACCAACUCAAGCUAACUGAUAGGAAAUAUACCAAAUAAAAUACAAGAAUAAAAUUGAAAAGACACCAAGAUUUAACGAGGUUCCUUAACAGUCAGUGUAACUGGAGUACGUCCUCGGAGCUGUAGGAGCUCACCAAUAAUCCACUAUAAACCAAAUGGAAAUGAGAGUGUUUACAAAGUGUUUGGCAAUCUCACAAUCCAAAAUCCCAAUUACACCCAAUAACUCUCACACACCAAAGAAACAAAUAGAGAAGGAAAUACAGUGAUUAAUUUCCUCUUUAUACAAAACACAAAGCUAAUCACAUGCCCCAAUUGUGGGCUUUCACAUGGGCCAUUAAACACCCAACUAAUUUUGGGCUACUGGCUUUCUUAUCAAACGCAAAGGCCCAAUGUAAUUCGGCCUCAAAUUCAACAAUGACCUGAUUUCCACCACCAAAUGAAUGCUGCUUUCCAAGUAAGGCUUCCAAUUUGGGAUUAUUAACAUCAUUAAGAAAGAACGCAUACUUCAUUCUUUUUUUCUUCAAACUUUCUCUCAAGUAGCCAAAAAAGGACUUGCUUCAUUCUCCGCCAUGUAGCCAAAGGCCUUCUUAAAUUUCAAGGCUACAUCCACAUAACAAAAUGUUUAGAAUUCCAGCGUUAGGGCAAUCAGGCAAACCGUUGCUUUGCAUGUCUAUUUUCCUAUUCACGGCUUGCCUAAAAGAGCUCCACGAACCCACACAAUUUCGGAGCUUAACAUUAUUUUAGCCUCUUCCCAUGACUCACAAUUAUGUUGGUUUUGUGAGCGAUGCAUCUCACAUGUAAAUACUUGCCACCUAGAAUAGCUUGUGAAUUUUCCCACCUAUUCAUUUUCGUCAUAAGUUGAUCCAAAGAAACUUUAUUGGCGGAAGCAUUGUCCACUGUGAUUGUCAUAACUUUGUAUAUCCCCCAUUCCAACAAGCAACUUUCAAUUAACUUUGCAAUUGUGGUUCCAUAGUGGUUAGGAAUAACACAAAAGUUUAUGAUCCUCUUAUGCAUAUUCCAUUCAUGAUCAAUAAAAUGUGAAGUAAGAACCAUAUAAUUGGGGUUUUGUGUGCUUGUCCAAGUGUCGGUAGUGAGACAAAUUCUAUGGGCACUUAAGGUUUUCUUCAAAUAAGCUUUUGAUUCAUGAGACAUGUUGAGAAAGUUCUCACAAGAGUUCUUCUAGAAGGCACUUUAAACAAUGGAAUACCAACAGCACAAAAAAGCCGAAACCCCAUCUUAUCAACUGUACUAAAUGGCAUCUCAUCUAUGACUACCAUCUUGACACAUGCUUCUAACACACUCUCUUGUGAAAAUCCAACAGCUACCAGAUUGUUACCUUUACUUUUAUCCCCAACCAAAACUUUUUGCUUUUUACUUCUAUUCCCUUGGUAAAAUUUACAAUAUCUUUCAAUGUGGUGUCUCAUGCUUGUGGGGUGCCAUUAACUCUUGGUUCAGCUGCAUAAUCACCUACACUGCUCUGUUUUGGGCAAUAAUUACAUUUAGCUCUCCUAAGUUUUACUUCGGCCAAAUAUUUCUCUCCCUUUUCAUUGAUUUUCGACUGUUUUUUCGUCACAUAAUAUGUUGUAAAAUGAUCCCAAACCCAACUACGUUUUCUUGAAUCAGAGUUACUUACUUUUUCAUCUUCGCCCUCAGAUUCAAAGUCACCUUCAACGUCUAUUUCAUUUUCCGAGUCAAUUUCUAUUGCCUCGUCCUCCGGCUUCUCAGGGGAGUCCCCCGUAGUAGAAGAGUAACCAAUCCCACUAUGCUUGCUGGAUUCUUCAUAUCUUGACUGAAAUAAAAUACGAAAGAAGAACAUAGAUAGAUAUUAGGUUUUAUACUAAGAAAAUAGAUAGAUAUUAGGUUUUUAAAUUGACUUUGUACUUCACAUUUCUAUUAUACUGUAGCAGUAAUCAAUACAAUUGGAUAUGUAAUAGCUGAAUAAAUAGGGAGGAAGGCAAAAUGACGCGAUACGCACCAUAGUUUGAAGUUCAUCGGUUGAGAACGGGUUACAGUAGUGGUCCAUGCAUAGAUUAACAAACUGAAAACAACAAAUGGUGCAGUGAAGACGGUGAAUCAACGCAGUCACAGAUUAACAAAUUGAAAACAACAAAUAAAACCACAGAAAAAGAAAACAGCCACAUAGUGUGUUGACUUCAAGAGAAAGAGGCUCUUACACCCACACAAAUUAAAAACUAACUUCUCAUUCUGCAAAGAUUCAUAUAGUACUGUUUUAUAAUCAUCUUUGAAAGAACAAGACCACAAAUUUUCUUCAUAUAAUACUUAAUCGAACAAGUUUGUGCUAAAUUUGAAUUAUUUUAACGAGGCCAACAAUCUAACAAGUAAUGAAUUGUAUUGGAGUGUAUGAGCAGCAAGUAACUCAGUAAAUAAUCACAUUGAGACUCCAAUGUCGGGAGCUAGCACACUGAUUUUUAUCUAUGAAUCAAGUUCAACUUAGCAUCAGAAGCCAACGAAAUUCAAUAACAAGGAGGCAAGCAAAAACUUGAUGGAGCUCCAAGUAAAAAUCUAGUCCUCAACCUGCCAAAUACAAGUCAAAUGCAACCACUAAAUCAGUUGUUCAAAAACUAACAAUAAUGGAUUAGAAGAUGGAUCUGAAUAACCAUCUUGGUUAAGACGCUGUCAAGUGCCAAUUGGUGACCAUGUUGGAAAUAAUAAGAUUCUCUAUUAAUUUUCUUCUUGGUGUUGGCAGCAGUAAUCAAACUUAAGCCCCAAACAAAUCCCUUAUGCUUGCUUCCCCUUUGACAACACUAAAUUAUCAGCAUUUCCAACCCCACAAAGGCUGUCAACAAGACACGGCUCACAUAUACUAACUCUGAUAGAGGAGACAACUUGAAGGCUAGCAAUCCUUAUCUCUGUGAAGGACCGUAAUUUAGCAAGACAGCAAAGAAAAACAUUUUGAAGCAAUACAAGUCUCAACAGAGAUAUCAAACAAAAAGAAAGCAUCAAACGAAGAAAAUUAAGAGAGGUGAGGGUACUUAUGCCAUGCUGCCUGUGAUAAUCAAACAUCAAAGUUUCAGCAACUCGCUUUCCCUCGUCACAGCAACUCCUAACUCAUGUUUAUGUUUCCAAACACAAAACCAAUUAACAUGUGCCACAAGUUGGUGCAAAUGAAAUGUUGGCAUUCUGAAAGAUGUUUAAAUUUUUUUGGAUAGAGGGCAAUGAGAAACCAUAUAUAACAUUAUGUCACAAAUAUAGAUUGGAUUACAAUUAAAGAGAUGGAAUUUUAAUAGACAAACACCCAGACACAAAGAGAGAACAGAUUUUCAAAAAUGAAAACCGUACUAGGUCACUUGUGACCACAUAAUAACUUCAUCUAAUCAACAAACAAAACCAAACCUGCCUAACAUUCGAAUUAAUCUAACAACAACAUAUAUGAAAUUGAAGACAGAGGAUGAGAAAUUUUUACCUCUGCUCUGGGUGUGUCGACGCCAAGAUUGGAGGCAAGGCAGAGAUGAAAGCAGUGACUCGCAGAGGUAGAUGCAGGCAGGCAGAAGUAGAUGCAGAAGCAGUCGCUCGCAGGCGGAGAUGCAAGGAGGCGCAGACAGUCGCAAACCCACUCGGUGUCGGUGCAAACCCAGAAGUUCUAGCGGCGCAAAACCAAAUGUAUAAGUUUUCUGUAUAACCUAGUUGAAUAAUGAACUAAAUAAAAAAAAAAAAAGUGCGGUUUCGGUUUCGGUUUCGGUUUCGGUGUGGUUUUGAAAACCCAAAACCGAAACCAAACCGUUUUGUGUGCCGCGGUUCGAUUUUGAAACCGAAACCGUUUCAAAAACCGCAAAACCAAACCGUUUGGUGCGGUUUGAUUCGAUUCGUGUUUCGAUUUCGGUUUUCGGUUCCAAGUGGCCACCCCUACUUGGAGAGAUGAAGGACGCCAUUAUAAGAAGGAAGCACGGCGUAAAAGGGUUUUUUGGGUUUGGGGGAUUUGAAGACGAAGACCUGGAAAAAGAGAUGUGCUGGAGAAUAAGGGCAAGAGCUUUUAGAAAGUUUUGGGAGCGUAAAGUGCGAAUGAGAGAUUUUCAGUAUUUAUAGGCUUUUUGGCAGGAAGGGUAAUCGUUUGAAAUUCAAAAACAAAGGGCAAAAUCGACCGAAAGAAUCGUUGAUCAUGAUGAACAUUUUGGAAAUGCAGUUGAGAAGACCGAAGGUUUCAGAUGUUGGGGGCGCACGAUUGCGUGUGACGGCGAAAUUAAUGGCGGAAGACGUUUCGACGCCUGCACGAUGACAAGUGGGCUCACGGACUGAGGAAGUGGCUCGCGCGGAUUGAGAUAGUGGUCAUAAUGGCAAGACGAUUCAGGCAGCCGCACGCUUUGGACGUCAUUAUUGGGAUUGGUCGUGUUAGAGGACGCCACGUGGCGAGUUUGGUUAGCAGAAUCAAGAUCGUGCAAUUAUGUUCAAUGAAUACGCCUUAGAACUCGGGCAUUAGGGCUCUGAGUAAUAGAUUCGCUUCUUCAAGGCCGAAACUCGGCCGAAGAAUUUAGACCGAGGAGGACCUCAGAAGCUAGGGGGCAAUGUUUGGGCCCAAAAUAUUAAUUUGGGCCGAGGGUAGGAUCACUCUCGGCCCGGAAGGCCGAUCGGCUAGUGGGCUUCCCAGCCUAGGGCGGUUAGGUCAGAACGCCAGCCGAGUCCUAGCACAAUGAGGAGUCUCGAUGGGAUCAGUAAUCCAGAAGGCAAAUCCGGCUCAGUUAAGGACUAGAUUCAUAGUCCUAGUAAAGAUAGGACUGGUCGAGGUGACGUUGAUCCGGAGAGGAAAACCUAGUCCAAAUAGGAUUCUAACUCGGACUUAAGGUCCAGUGCUAUAAAUAUAGGGGAAGCUGCUGUGCACCAGGAAAAGCUCCCUGCAAAUCAACACAAAAUUGCCCUGCGCAAAUUCUCACAACUUGUGAUUUUUCUCUUUCUUUUUCGCUGACACAUCUUCCAUUGGCAUCAACAGCACUGUGGAAGCAACCGGUGAUAUCUUAAGUCGGCAUAGAUAGCUCUGUCACCGUAGAGUCAGUCGGUUUCGCAGUAUCUUCCGUUGGCAUCAACAGCACUACGGCGAGAACGAUUGAUUACCUAUCCAAGUCUCGGUCGAGAAGGGUUUCUGAAUCCUUAUUGGUCGAGGUCAUCUCAUUAGCCUUCUCGGCGAAGUGGGGUGUUACAGUUAUUAUUACAUUCGGCACAUUGAAAGCCGAAUUUGAUAUUGAACUUCGUAAGAAUAGUAACCUUGUCUUCAGGUUCGAGAGCCCAAGAGGCCGAGACGUGUUCCUUUCUCGGCCGCAAUCGCAAGACGCAGAAGUUAGUAGCGCGACCUAACGCAACAUCAACAAAUUUACUCCUCGGCCGAGCUCGGCCGACGAGUUGGCACGCCCCGUAUUCACCGAAGGACGUAGUUAGCUUAUAGAAUACUCGGCCUGCGCGCCACGUAGGCUUUGUAGUUUCUAGGGUCAACAAAUGUACAGUUUUUUUUUCUUAUUUUUUUGGUGGGUGGAGAAGGGGGAGGGGGAGGAUUAUUAUCAUGUCAUAACCCAAUAAGCGAGUUCCAUUCCAUUGUAGGGUUUUUCAAGUAAUAAUAGUACUGCUUUUCGUGGGCUUCUCAUUAUGUUUGCUUUGUAUUACUCCUGCGCCAUGAAGCUGAACAAAACGAUCUCCUUGACUCGUUUGCUAACUCAAUAUUUUGACACUUUUACCAAGAGCGAGAAAAUUAAGCAACGGUUACUCGCCGAGUGUGGCUAUUAGGUUAUUCCCCAAGUGUGGCUAAUGCCACAAUGGCGAGCCGCCGCAUGGAAUUCGUGGCUAUAGCUCAACUUUUUAAUAGCAUUUUAGAACAGUAAGAAAAGAAAAAUGCCACGCAUUCUUAGAGCAUUCUUAUUUCUUACCUAGUCCUUUGCCAUACCUAAUACUCUUGAUUGACCAAAAAAAAAUACCUAAUACUCUUUGAUGCAAAAUUUUGUUGAGGUUUUUCGGGAUGGCAAGGGGAAAGGCGUCUAAGUUGCUGCGCAUGUUCGACAAAGAAAAGGUACUGUGGAUGGAAUUAUGCAACAAUAAGCAUAUGUGGGGACAAAACUUAAGUGCAAAUGAGCUAUUUUAUCUGUGGAGGGCAUUAUUUAAUAUGUGACAUGGCACAACCAUUGCUCGUGUUGCCAUCGAACAACAUUGAAACAACUAAAACCCUCAAUUAGAGACUACAAAAUACAUAACCUCGAACUUAAUUUUUAGUGUCGAGAUUUUUUGGUUUGGUAAUUCACGGUAACUUAGGUUUUUCACGAUAUCUCGAUAAUUAAAUUCGAUUUUCAACAUUUUUGGGUUUACUUUUUUGUCUUGACACAUUUUGACAAUAAGAAUAGGAAGGAAGUUAAACCAUAAUUUUAAAUAUUAGAAAAAUGAAACCAGACAAUGUGAGAAAAGUCUCAAAGUUUUGGUAGAAUAAUACGAAGGGGAAACCCUAUCACCACAGAAAAAUGGUUUUAUAGUUUACCUCAAACCUGGCUUGCAAGCAAUCCUAAGUGAAAGCACAAAAGGAAAAAAAUAACAAAAUCACGGAAAAUAUUCUGAAAACUUAAAUUUCAAACUUAACAUAGCAAACAAAUGAAUUUGAUCUAUAAACCUAUAGAUCACAACUUUUCAGUGAGUUUGACUUGUAACAUUGUCUUUGAAAAGAAAAGUCUAUUACGAGCCCAAGCCUACGUUGCAUAGACCUUAUUAUCCGAUUUAGGCUUGUCAAGUUGAUCUUGAGUUAUUCAGCGAUCCAUCUAUCCUAUCUAAUAUCAUGUCUUUAUUUAGUUAAUCUCAAUUUUCGUCUAGGUACCUUUUGUUUGCGUUCUUUUUUACACUAUGUUUGAAUAAGAGAAAUAAACUUAUAAUUUAUGUAUAAAUUAAAAUUUAUAAAUUGACAUGCACUAUUUCCUUUGUUUGGAAUCAUAAAUAUAUAAAUUUAGAAUUUCAACUUGGAAACAAAAACUUGGAAUUUGGGAUCUCAAAUUCUCAAGUUUAAAUUCCAUGUAAAUAUAUGUCAUUUCCCAAUUUCUAUGAAUGAAAGUUUAAAAAUAUCAAAUUUUGUAUUCAAUUCCAUUGUUUUUUUAGGUUUACCAAACAGGUAAAUUCGCAAAUUCUAGAAAAUAAUCUCAUCGUUUCAAUUUCCGUCAUUUUAAAUUUUUUUUGUAAUCUUAAAUUUCUUCAUCCAAACAUAAUGUUAGUUGUUAUUUCAAAUUUCUUGAAAACUUAAAAAUCAUCACCAAAUUACUUUUAUUGAAAAUUAAAAUUAUUUAUCUUGUGUUUAUAAAUUUAACUGAGUUUUUAGUUUUUUUUUUUUUUAUAACUAAAAAUAGCUACCAAACCAAAUAACCCUUUAAUAAUACCAAAAAUGCUGAUUAGUAACUCUUCAAUUCGUUUUUUACGGUAAGUUUAUUGAAUCGGGGGGAUCGGGGAUGCUGUGAAAGUCGAGAGAGAAGUGGUGGUUGGUGUGGCGGCUUGGGUGCCGUUGGCUUGGGUACUGUUGGGUGGGUGGCGGUGCCGUGGCAUUCAUCCUUCCAUCUGGGUUACCAUUGUUGACCGCUCCUUCACUAGUUCACUUUCAUGCUGGACUUCAAUUGAUAAACUUCACAUGCUGAUGCUCUGCUUCGAAGAAACUUCGUCAUCAUUCAUGCGCCAGAAAAUUGGGGCUGGAAACAAAAGAGCCCAACUGUCAACUGACCCUUUUUUGUUUUCAUUAUCCGACGGUUAUUAGUUAAACAGUCUUCUUUGGUUGGUAGGAUGUUGACAUUGCAAAAUUUUGGAGAAAUAUUUUAGUAAUUUGACUAUAUAGAUUUUUUCACGAGUCAUAUGCCAAAUUUUGGAGAAAUAUUUAGUAAUUUGACUAUGUAGAUUUUUUCACGAGUCAUAUGCCAAAUUUUGGAAAGAAUCGAUAAAUGGAUCAUACAUUUUAUUUGAUAAACUUCACAUUGAUGUCAUAGGCUAAAAUAAUAUUUUUUUAAUAUGUUUGAUAUUACUUAGGAGGUUUAAAUUUGUUUUUUACGAUAAUCGAAGUUAAGAUUUCUAACUUACAAGUGAAGAGAAAAUUUACUAGACGGUAGUGCUAAGUGGCGGCUACUAGAAGUGUUUUUAAAAUAAUUGAAAGUGAUUUUGUUGAAAAUGUAAGUGAAUCUUGAAAAACACUUGAAGUAUUUCCUGUAAGAAGCACUUUAAAUGUUUUAGAAUCCAAAAGUAUUUUCUUUAAAAACUAUUUUAGUUAUUUUAAAAGUAUUUUCAAACAAGUCAUAAAACAAAUAUUUUUGAUAACCUAGAAUAAAUAAAGAUUUAUCCGGUAUGAUCCGAUCAAUCAUCUAUCAAUGUUCAUAUGGGGUAAUUACGUUGAAUAUGUUUCCUCAUGGGGUUCCAAGGAUUAUCUUAAUUAAGUUCAAAAUUACUCAAUUACCUACCCAAAUUGAAUCGACAUGGGACCCAACUGAUGGAUAAGGAGGUCGGAUGCUACAUCAAUCUGACUCUGCAUGCCGUGGAAUCGAUUCAGCAGUCCCCUAACAUCCGUUGAUUCUACAUUUAGGUGGUCCCUACGCCCACACCUUCGCGCAUCUUGCACUCCAACUUAUUCGGCUGAUUUAGUCGACGAACUAUAUUUUAAUUGUAUUUCUCUUCAUUCGAGAUAGUCGUAGUUGAGAAAUUUUAAAUUGAAUUUGUGCAUAAGAUGAUGAGGCGAAUUUCAUACCAAAUUGUAGUUAUCUUGUUGUACGGCUCAAUGCAGAUUUUCAUCAUCUUUUACUAUUGUUUAAAUAAAUAAAACUUGUAACUAGUUAAGCUCCCAAAAUCAAGAAGAAAACAUCUACGUGACAUAGUAACGGUAUGUUAAACCAAUUCACGAAUGAUAUUCGAGAUUCACAAAAAAGUUUAACACAAGAGGAGAUACCAAUCCCAAUUUUAAGCAAGAGACGCAUAUAUCCAAAAGUGUGAUUGUAACUAAGGGAAUAUACUUGUGAACAAACCACUCCGCCCAAAUCCAAACUUUUUUGGUGUGACAUCCAUACCAUUAUUCUGUGUUAUUAAUUUAUGCGUUAUAACACAAGUGGAUAUUAUUUUUGAGAUUUCAUAUACUUAUGGUAAAAGGUUAACAAAUAUAUACACGUUUUAUGAUAUCAAUGAAUUAAUUUCUCCACGUAAUAGUGUGUCAAUCACACAUGUUAUGAUAAGAAUGAAUUAAAUUCUGCAUGUAACAGUGUGAUAAUCAUACGUGUUAUGAUAAGAACGAAUUAAUUUCUGCAUGUAAACAUUUGACAAUCUCAACGAAAUAUUUCUAGAAUAAUUCAAGAUACACGUUAAUCGAGGUUCCCCAAGGUACAACUAUGACAACCAGUGCUUGGCCAUAUAAGAUUCUAUAAACUUACAGCGGGUGAUCUUGCACCUUCACAGGCAACCUAGACCAAUAUAAAUACCACCCCGUAGCCACUCUAUUUUCAUCAAGAAACCAAACAAGUCCGUGUAUUCUGUGUAUUCCGUGUAUUCUGUGUCUAUUUUAUUUGAAGAAUAAGUAGUUUGUGUCUUCCAAACAGAGAAAAGUAAAACAUGGGUAAGGGAGGCCAAUCCUGCAAUGGCGUGGUUAGAGAUACCAAACCUGUUGAGCAGGAAAACAUGGCUGCCUGGCUCGUUGAUGUUAACACCAUCAGGAUCCUACCUUUCAAGCUCCCCGAUAUUGGUAUUUUACUUAUCUCCCUACUUUUUAAUUUCAUCGCUAAUUUUUUUUUCCUUUUUAUUUUUUUAUUUUCAGUUUUCAUGGAUGUAUUGACUAACAUGUUGCUCCCUGUUUUGUUUGGAUUUCUUAAUUUAGGACUCAAUGAUGUUCAAAUUCGGAUUAAGGCUGUCGGCAUUUGUGGAAGCGAUGUUCACUACCUCAAGAACAUGAAACUGGCGGAUUUUGAGGUGAAAGAACCAAUGGUGAUCGGACAUGAGUGUGCUGGGAUCGUAGAAAAAGUUGGGAGCGACGUGAAGCAUCUGGUUUCUGGUGACCGCGUGGCUGUAGAGCCCGGCAUCAGCUGCUCACGGUGCCAGCAGUGCAAAGGAGGCCGCUACAAUCUCUGCCCCGACAUGAAGUUUUUCGCCACCCCACCGGUUCAUGGUUCCUUGGCUAACCAGAUUGUGCACCCUGCAGAUCUGUGCUUUAAACUGCCCGAAAACGUGAGCUUGGAGGAAGGAGCAAUGUGUGAGCCCUUGAGUGUUGGGGUUCACGCUUGUCGGCGAGCCAAUGUUGGUCCCGAAACAACUGUUCUGAUCGUCGGUGCAGGGCCGAUUGGGCUGGUUUCCGUGCUCGCUGCUCGUGCUUUCGGAGCACCAAGAAUUGUCAUCGUAGAUAUGGAUGAUAAGCGUUUAGCCGUGGCCAAGUCUCUGGGAGCUGAUGGAACCGUCAAAGUUUCAGCAAAAAUGGAGGAUUUAGAUGACGAAGUUGCCAAGAUUAAAGAAACCAUGGGAGCCGAAGUUGAUGUGACCUUCGACUGUGUGGGUUUCAACAAAACCAUGUCUACGGGCCUCAAUGCUACUCGUCCCGGCGGCAAAGUUUGCCUUGUAGGAAUGGGGCACAGCAUGAUGACAGUCCCUCUGACACCGGCUGCAGCCAGGGAGGUUGACGUGGUUGGAGUUUUCCGGUAUAAGAACACAUGGCCUCUUUGCCUUGAGUUUUUGAGAAGCGGGAAGAUCGACGUGAAGCCGCUUAUUACCCACCGGUUUGGAUUUACCGAGAAGGAGGUGGAAGAAGCAUUUGCAACCAGUGCUCGUGGGGGUGACGCCAUUAAAGUCAUGUUUAAUCUAUAGUAAAUAAAUCAUUAAGUUUCUGAAUUUUGGAUUCGUCGAGAGGACAAGUUUUUGUGAUGGUUUGGAAAAUUGGAAGUCAUCGUCUCGGAUGAAGAAUGGUCUUGUUUUUAAGUUCCGGGAAACUUGUUGAUGUACAGAGACCAUUGUAUAGCUGUAUUAGAUCUCGGCAUGCACCACACUAGUAAAUUCAUUAUUUAACAUGAGUCCAUCAAUACAUGUUAACUAUGUGCGUACGUAUGCAUGUAACUAAAUUGUCUUCAAUAUAAAUCAUUUUUCUGCCAAAGUUGUUUUUAUUUGCUUGCAUUUCUUUGGACUAUCGAUGAGUGUUACAGACACGCAUCAUGUACGUACAAUCGGCCUAUAAUCAAAGAUAAACUAACUUGUCUAUUCAAAUCUUGCAACACAAGAUGAAAAUACUUCAUUGCUUAAAUUGCAAAUUACUCUUUUCCUUUCUCUUUUUUUCACCUUAAGGCAUAGGGGUUGUUCGGGACGGGAUCCCGAACCGAAACUCAUAUCCCAAAUCUUGAACCAAUCUAUUUCGGGAUGAAAUUCCAAAAACCGAAAGUUUAGGAUUCUCGAAAAAAAUUUGGGAUUUCGGUACGGUUCGGAAUUGGCCAUUUUCCGUGCAAAGAUUUCCCACGGCGCCGACAGAGGUGGAGAAUAAGGGUGGAGGAGAGAUUGAGAGACGAAGAAACAACAAGCGAGUCGUGGUGGCUGCAUUGGCUGGGCGACGGAGAAAUCAGACAGAACUCAGAUGAGGGAGGGAGGGAGGGAGAGAGAGAGAGAGAAUAUCAGGGUUAUGUAUGAAAGCAACGUUGGUUUUGUAUUGUGAAGGCGAAGUUGUCUUUGCAUUACGUUUGAAAGUCAAUAUGCCUAGAGUCUAGGUGCUAGCAAAGAGGUGGAAGGCUUCAGACGUAAUGAUGAUAUCCAAGGUUUAGGAAGCUUUACGGAAGUGAGAUGAUAGAUGGGAGAGUAUGAAGUUUUUGAGGAAGUGAGGUGACAGAUAGUAACGAACUGUUGAGAUUGAACCUCAACUAAAUCCUAUGGCCAUUAUUAAUUCAAAUAUACAUAAAAUUUAUUAUAUUAAUAUAUUGAUCGGUUUGGUUUGAGAAUACCGUACAAGGCCAUAUCAGAUCCCAAUCCCAUACCAAAAAUUUUCAGGAUCGGGUAUCGAACUGUUUAGAAUUUUUGGUUUGAGAUGUUUUCGGUUCAGUUUCAGGAUUAUUUCGGUAUAGUUUGGGAUUUUCAGGAUUUGUUUUUACAGCCCUAGACAUUUCCUUUUACUUUUUCUUAUCACCCUAAUACUUUUGUGUUAAUGAUGGUUGUCCAAAUAUUAUUUUUGGUUGUUAAUAGAAUCCAUAUCUCUUUUAUGAAACGAAAAACAGUCAAAAAGAGCAAAGCCUUUGUAAUCAGUUGGUGUCUUGAGUGAGCCAAAAUAUUUGCAACAAAGUUUACCUCACGCCAAAUAUAAAUAGAAAUGACGUGGCUAUUCACAUCAGAUACCAUCUAAAAUGAUGUAAAAAUGUGUUAUAAAAACAUGGUAUGAAUAACAUUACUUUUAAUUAGGAUAGAAGCAGGCCAAGUGAUUUUCAAUUGGUUUUAUAAAAAUUUUAAAUUUUAAACUCGUUAAUACUUGUGCCACUUACUUGAUUUACAUGUUAGCGAAAACUAGCUCACAUAUGUGCCAUGCUAUACAUUUUAGUAGAGUAUUUGGCGAAAAAAGUUAAACAAGAUAAAGUGUGACACAAAAGUUGAAUUCAUCGACUUAAUGGCACUAAACAAGUUUCUAGCAGCAUAAUGAGAUUCGACUUGUAGUUAAGAAGAUAUCAAAUUAAGCCAUCAAUAUUUUCAUCUUAUUAACUUACAAGAACCCUAAGUCUAACCAUCUAGAAAUUAAACAUGACCCUUUCAUUUUUUUUUGUUUGGACUGAAUUAGUUGCCAACCGACAGGGAUAUAGCUCAAACCCCUGAUCUCUUGAAAAAUUUUAAGUGAGGUUUUGAGUUAAUUUUCCGAUAUGAAACUUGAACUUUCGAUCCACCACGCAUGAUCUCUAGAGAUAUUUUAGGGAACUUGUAGAAAAUCAUCAAAAAUGUAUUGUCAUAUACCCAAUAUAUCAACAAUAUUUAUACAUUGACAAUAUCGACAAGGAACGUCUAGGAACUUUGGGAGAGACAGUCAAUUAACUUGUUUUUUUUUUUUUUGUCAAUAUGCUCUAUGCAUUGGUAUUCCUUGUUGAUAUUAUUAAUAAUAUGUUAAUAGUCCGUAUUUAUGUUGUUGAUAAUUUCCCAAUAUUGGAUUUAAGAGGUUCCUCUUCAGCCCUCAGUCUUUCAAACCCAAUCAUCUUGAUAUAAAUUGGUGUAAAAUAUUACGUAAAUUAAAAUAAAAUUUUAAUUAUAUGAGAAUAUACAUAAAGGAGAGGAAUAUUUUUUAAGAGGGAUUGAGAUUUACUCUGAAUCUCUGUGUCUAAAGUAUAUAGGCCGAGAAAUUUAGACCACUUAAUUUCAAUUUUACGAUCUUAAUUAGCUUAUUCUAUUUACUCAUUUCACAAAAACUCAAAAAGUUCAACGUCUCAUAAUGUUUUCUUUCUUUCUUGAACCGCGGAGACCUCUCAGUUGAUCUUUCAUUCACAAGGAUUCGAAGUUGAUCUUUCAUUCUUUGCAAGAGGACCACUAAAACAAUUUUCCUGAUUUUUUAUAUUGCAUACGCGUGUGUCUGACUGGACACCUUGUCGUGGCACUUCGUUAUCCAUUAUUAACGUACCACGGCUCUUUUGACUUUAUUCGCUCUUGCACUUUAUAAAAGGAAACUUCAGGAUCGGUCGUUGCAACUCAUGCCAACGGUCGCAAGAUUCAAUCCCACAUAUACGUGACGUAGGAAUUAGUCAGUCGUCACCUACCUUGGACGCGUGCCAAAAACCCUAAGGUUUGCUGGCAACACAGAUAGCACAUCUCAUGCAUGGGCCUGGCCGCAGAGUGACCAUCCAACUGUUGCUAAAUAAUUAAUCUUUUAUUUUAUUUUUGGUCGGUUUCUGUUAGUUGAUAUAUGGAUAACAGGAUUAAUUACUUCACUGAUUGGCAAAUAGAUUUUAUUAACCGACCAAAAAUAUAAAUAAUUCAGGGAGUUAAAGAAGUCCCAUGAAAAAGAACAAAAAGAAAACUUGUAAAACAAGAUUAUUAUUCGUGUCCCCCUACCUACUCCACUCAAACUUCUUGGCACCAAUUCUUACCUACUCGACCCAUAAAGGGGCAAAAGCAUUCUUACCUACUUGUUAGCUCCACCUACUCGAUCGUUCGAGCAGGUUUUAGUAGGUUCUUUUGGGGGGAUGCCUAGGCUAGGGUUUACUCGGACGCUAAGGGUAAAUGAAAAUAUAUAUGCAGCAACAAUUAAAAUUGUGUUAGGAAUGUGCAAGAGGGCAACACAAUCAUGCUGUUAAAAUGACAGUACUUUAAACUUAUCAUGCAUCAUCAUGUGUUUUUUAAUGUUAUUAUCAUCUUGUUCUGUCAUCAUGUGUUUUAAUUUUUCCAUACAAGUUUGCUUGCAUUCAAUUCUAAUGUUUGGCGACGAAAAUGGAACAAAAUAUGUUUAUAGUUACACUUUUUUCUGUCAACAAUAUUGUUUAGUUCAAUGUUAUGACAAACCACGAAGUAAAGGGAAGCAACCUCUCGAUAUAAUCUCCAAAAUUGAUUGAAUCUCAUGAAGAAGUUGAGGUUUUCCCAUAAAAUUAAUUGGUAAUAUGGUGAGUAAUCUAUUGACUACUUAUAAGCACAUGAAAAGCCCAUCAUUUCCCUGAUGUGGGAUUGACUCUCAACAAUUUGAUGUAAGGCCAAGUUAUUUAGAAUAAAAUGAAUAGGAUGGUGCUAUUCACGCACCUAUUUUUACAUUCACACACUUCUUGUUUAAUUUUGUCUGUUGAUCAUCUUUAUUUUAUUCAAUCCAAUAAUAAAAAAAUUUAAAAAAAUAUGUAAAGUAAAAAAAAAUGUAAAUAUCACCAUCGAACUGAAUAUUCCAGAUUCCACUUUGAGUAACAAUAAACCUAACAUGGGCACGACCCGACUUAUAUUCCAGAUUCCACUUUGAGUAAACCCAAACCUAUAACAUGGCCCUAACAUGGGCAAGAUUAACAGCAACCUGUAUUCAUACUCAAACCUAGCUAUUUCGUCAAACCGACAUAUUCAAACUUAUUAAUUGUUACAACGGUCUUCAUUUGGAUAACGUUUUAUAGUUUCACUUUCAGCCUCCAAAUAUUUGGAUAAUCCAAUUGGAAAAUUCCUGCUAGUCUUGGGCAAACCGAUGCACCGUCCAAGACGGCAUGUGGUAGAAGCUUCUCUCCGCCAAGUGUGGAAUGGACUAAGUGAAUUGUGGAUAACGCUAGAACUCAGGCGAAAUUCAGUGUCAAACAUGUGGGGGGUUUCUUCUUUGAUCUAACUAAACCUAGUCAUAGAAAGAGGUGUAAUGACAAUAUUUUUUUUUUUUUUUACAAACGAUAUUAUUUACAAAUGGAGGUGGGCUUAGCCUCAUAAUGAGCUAGCAAUAAUGUGGUUCAAAUUCGUCUUUGGUGAGAAAUGAACUAAAGACAUUUUACUUACAAGUGAGAAGAACACUCUAGACUGUAAUAUUAAGUGGUUUAUUUUUUAGUUUAUACAAGAUCUUUAGAGAAGGGGAAUUGAAAACACAUGAGUUCAAUUACGAAUAGAUGUUUUAAUCACUCGAAUUACAAGACAUCGAUUAUACUUUGAGCCGAUUUUGGUUAGAUCUGAUGAUGAUUUUCAACACCUCUUUAGCUCCAAGACGGCAUGUGGUAGAAGCUUCUCUCCGCCAAGUGUGGAAUGGACUAAGUAAAUUGUGGAUAACGCUAGGACUCAGGCGAAAUUCAAUGUCAAACAUGUUUUUUUUUUUUUUUUUUUGGGGGGGGUUCUUCUUUGAUCUAAACCUGGUCAUACUACGUAAAUUGUGGAUAACGCUAGGACUCAGGCAAAAUUCAGUGUCAAACAUGUUUUUUUUUUUUUUUGGGGGGGGGGGGGGGCUUUCUUCUUCGAUCUAAACCUAGUCAUAGAAAGAGGUAUAAUGACAAUAUUAUUUUUUAGUUUUUUUUUUUUUGACAAAUGAUAUUAUUUAUAGAUGGGGGUGGGCUUAGUCUCACAAUGAGCUAGCAAUAAUGUGGUUCAAAUUCGCCUUUGGCAAGAAACGAAACAAAGACCUCUCAUUUAUAAGUGAGAGGAACACUACCAGAUUGUAGUACUAAGUGACUUAUUUUUUUAGUUUAUACAAGAUCUUUAGAGAAGGGGGGUUGAAAGAAUAUGAGUUCAAUUAUGAAUAGAUGUUUUAAUCACUCGAGUUACGAGACAUCGCUUAUACUUUAAGCCGAUUUUGGCUAGAUCUAAUGUUGAUUUUCAACAACUCUUUAGUGAACUUUUUUAAGAUGAAUUUUUCAGUUCUGGGAACAUGGCUCGGUACACCAAGUGUAAUAAUAAUAUAAUUGGUUGAAAACUUGAAGAAAAAAAAAUUCAAGCAAUUGUACCAUUACUUGAUGUACUUAACCGUGUCCUCUGCACUUGAAAAAUCUUUUUUUUUUUUAGUCGACACUUUGGUAGCCUUGCUAAUUUAAGCUUUUCAGUGAAUCUGGAUUGUAGGUUUCAACCCCCAACCCAAUAUAUCCUUGGUAGUCUUCUUGGUGACAUUAGAGCAAUUCCACCGGGAAAAAAAUGUCCCAGCCCUCAGUCCAAAAAACAAGCUAGCCCUCAGUCCAUUUGCUCCAGCCUGUGGAGUUGCCUGGCACCCAGCCCAGCACGUUUUGGACUGACCAAGAAGCUGGCCUGUUUCUCAGGCGCGUGCAACACAAGCGCGCAAGGCGCGAGUGGGUUUCAGGCUUUCCUGAAAAUGUGUCAGCCCACUUGGGCUCAGCGACGUGGCGUUAUGAUAGCCGUUGGAUUUCCAACGGCUAGUUUUUCUAGACCGUUGGAUUUCCAACGGUAAAAAAAAUUUAAAUUUUACUUUUAAAAUAGACCGUCUGAUCACAGAUCAACGGUCUACGUUAAUUAACUAAAUUAAAAUUUAUUAAAAAAUACAGAAAAUUUUAAAAAUUUUAUUUAUUUUUUCUAUAAAUACCUAACUCUUCAUCUUUCCACCUUACACCACAUUUCAAUAUUUUCUACACUUUCUACCAAAAAGCUUUUCAUAUACUUUUUGUGUGAAAAAAAAAAUACCAAAAAGCUUAUGGUUGAAGAAUAAAGUGUAUUUGAUGAGUUUAUGUAAUUUCAUUUUAGUGUGUUUUUUUUUAUAGUUUAUUUGAGGAUGAGUAUGUAAUUUUAUUUAGUGUGUAUUUUUUUUUAAGUUUAUUUGAAAUUUUAUCUGAAAUUGGUUAAAAAUCUUAUCCAAAAUAAACUUAAAAAAAAAACACCAAAUAAAUGCACUGGGUGCCAGCGCAUUUUUUUAGGGGUGGAGAUGCCUUGGCCUAUUACUGUUCACUUGAGUGGAUAAAUGCGCUGGGUGCUGACGCAAAGUCCUUAGGGGUGGAAUUGCUCUUAAGGGGCUGUCUUGGCCUAGAACAAUGGCCAACUUUUUGUUAAGACUUCUUUCGGAUAUGUGUGGAAAACAGUUGUGCUCAGAAACCCUUAUCAAAUAAUUUUAAAAAGAGUAAUGCUAGGAAGACUAAAUUUAGAAACUAAAUUUUGGAAAUUAAAGAACAUGUAAGUUGAUUAUUGGUUUAUUACAACGUUGAUAGACAUGCUUAUUUUUAUUUGUGACAUAUCAUUUAGUUUGUAAAUUUAAUCUCUAAAUUUAAUUUCUCUAAUAUUAUUCUUUUUAAAAACGUAACAAAAUUAAAGCACUUUGAGAAAAAGAAAAAAAAAAUUCUUGAAGAAACACAUGGUAAGAAAAGCACUCGGAAUGACUCCUCCUCAGGAAACAUUCAAGCAAUGUCCGCUUUAAACAAUAAUUUAUUAUUUUCUGUAAGGAAGAGGUAUUCAUCAAUUCCCCCCCUCAACUUGUGACUAUUGGCCAAUUUCCCCCCUCAACUUUAAUUUUGGCCAAUUUCCCCCCUCAACUCUCAUAAUUAGUCAAUUUCCCCCCUCAACUUUAAUUUGGCCAAUUCCCCCCCUCAACUCUCAUAAUUAGUCAUUUUGCACCCUACUAUUAAUUUUUUAAUUUGAUCAUAAUUAAACAAGUGUGUGUAAGAAACUAAAUAAGAUGUAUGUGUAGACAUCGAAAUUUCGGUAAAUAAAUGUUGACCGAUAAAUCAAAGUGGCAACGCUCAUGUAUUACAUAAAUUUUACACGUAACGUGUGACUCAACGAAAAUUGAAAUGAGUUGGAAAGUCAUCAAAUAGGACACAUGUCAACACCUGUCAGAAACGACUUAUUUCAUCUGGGAUAUUAUAUUCAAAAUUAGGCCUUGGAAAAUUCUAUAAAUACAAGCCCAUUUCAUUCAUUUAGGGGGGAGGGACCAAAAUCAUUAAGCAAGCUCUGAAGCUCUGAAACUCCGAAGCUUUGAAACUCCGAAGCUCUCAAGCAUCCAGGUUCCCGAAGAAUCAAGAAAGCUCUCUUCGUUCUUUGUUCUUCGUUCAUCUUAAAGAUCAAGCCCCAACGGCCCUUUGGAUCAACAAUCAUCCACCAAUUCAAGAUCAAGCCCCGACGACCCUUGAAUAAAGUGUUCUUCGUUCUUCGUUCUUCGUUCAUCGUUCAUCCUCAAGAUCAAGCCCCGACGACCCUUGAAGAAAGUGUUCUUCGUUCUUCGUUCAUCAUUCUUCCAAGAUCAAGCCCCGACGACCCUUGGAUCAACAGCAUCAACAAAUCCACACAUCCAACCGUUCUUCAAGAUCAAGCCCAAAAGUCCUUGAAGAUCCGUUCAUCACUGUUUCUUCAAGAUCAAGCCCAAAAGCCCUUGAAGAUCUGUUCAUCACCGUUAUUCAAGAUCAAGCCUUAACGGCCCUUGAAGAAACAUUCAUCCUCAAGAUCAAGCCCCAACGGCUCCUUGAAGAUCCGCUCAAAUCCACCUUCAAAGAUCAAGCCCACAGCCCCUUGAAGAAACAAACAACUGUUCAUCCCAAGAUCAAGCCUCGACGGCCCUUGGAUCAACGAAACAUCCACAAAUCAACGCCUUAUGGAGAUCGAAUCAGAUGAUCAAGUUAUAGAGAGAUUGUAACCCAAAAUCAUCAAAUACAAAUAUUUGUUUGUGCACGUUGUUCUUGUCUCUUUCGUUUCAGGAAUUUUCCGUGUUCACAGUAUGUUAAUCAUUUUCCUAUAUCUUUAUCCUAUUACAAAUAGAUUAAAAUUUAGAAUUUUACAAUUUAUCAUAGAUAGUAUUAUUAGUCAUAAUAAAUCAGUGUGGAGUAAUUUUAUUUGAUUUUUUACUAUACAAAAUUUAUAACGAAAAGGAUUGAUGUGUACAUUUUUGUAUGUGAAUACAAUUUUCUUUAUAAAAGUGAAAGUUAAGUUCCAGUAAAUUGCAGAGAAUCGAGCUUUAAUGCAAAAAUG